GCACAACGCGAAGAACCUUACCCACCUUCGACAUGGCAGGAACUUACCAGAGAUGGUUUGGUGCUCGAAAGAGAACCUGCACACAGGUGCUGCAUGGCUGUCGUCAGCUCGUGUCGUGAGAUGUUGGGUUAAGUCCCGCAACGAGCGCAACCCUUGCCAUUAGUUGCUACAUUCAGUUGAGCACUCUAAUGGGACUGCCGGUGACAAACCGGAGAAGGUGGGGAUGACGUCAAGUCCUCAUGGCCCUUAUAGGUGGGGCUACACACGUCAUACAAUGGCUGGUACAAAGGGUUGCCAACCCGCGAGGGGGAGCUAAUCCCAUAAAGCCAGUCGUAGUCCGGAUUGCAGUCUGCAACUCGACUGCGUGAAGUCGGAAUCGCUAGUAAUCGUGGAUCAGAAUGUCACGGUGAAUACGUUCCCGGGUCUUGUACACACCG
Molecule: ribosomal RNA, 437 nt
Filed under: uncultured bacterium
Lineage: Bacteria
Description: bacterial SSU rRNA
Rfam family: Bacterial small subunit ribosomal RNA
Source: RNAcentral